This 445-nucleotide unclassified non-coding RNA is filed under the name Hevea brasiliensis (rubber tree). The record is from RNAcentral. Lineage: Eukaryota; Viridiplantae; Streptophyta; Magnoliopsida; Malpighiales; Euphorbiaceae.
AAAAGAACCAUCCAACAAGAACGCAGCUCAAUUGAGCAAUUUAGUGAGAAAGUACAGAAAUACAUGUGUGUUGUGUAAAGACUACAUGGUAAGUUAAAUUGACAAAAAAUAUGUUUCUAUUUCUUUGCAAUGCUAAUGACACAAAAUAUACAUUUCUCACAUUUUUUACAUUUUCAAAAAUUAAUAUCUUCUAUAAUCAUUGCAAAAAAUUUAAAGAUAACUCCGCCCAAGCAAUUUGUGCUUAGCCGGUCCCAAGCCUAGAUAAAUGAAGAAGGUUGCGGUAGGUGGCAAUUAGCGUAAAAAUUUUGUCACACCUUAUGAUAUAGAUUCUCUAUUUGGACAUAAUUAUGAAGAAUUUAUAUUCCCUAUAUCUGCCUUCUAUCAUCUUUCAUUGAUUCCAGACGUUAAUUAACUGUUGCAGGCUACGCUAUGCACAAUAGCUGCA